Molecule: long non-coding RNA, 243 nt
Organism: Polyodon spathula (Mississippi paddlefish)
Lineage: Eukaryota; Metazoa; Chordata; Actinopteri; Acipenseriformes; Polyodontidae
Exons: 3
Source: RefSeq, a predicted model, not a curated record
CAGAUCAGUCCAGUCCUCUGCGUGACUGUGGGGCGGUUCCGAAAGCGCAGGGUCAGGGUACUUCCUCCAGACAUAAACACUGAGCAGAGACAUUUAGCUGACGGAAGCUGAUACCAAGUUUCAUGACGAUUGGCUAAGUGGUUCUCAUUUAAGCAUAAAGUAAUGGUCGCUGCAUUCUCACCUGUCCAUCUUCUGGAGCCCUCUGAUCUUCAUUUGAGGAGCUGGUUAAAUGACACAGCUUCA